UACGAAGGGUGCAAGCGUUACUCGGAAUUACCGGGCGUAAAGCGUGCGUAGGUGGUGAGUUAAGUCUGUCGUGAAAGCCCCGGGCUCAACCUGGGAAUUGCAUUUGAGACUGCGUAGCUAGGGUGCGGAAGAGGGAAGCGGAAUUUCCGGUGUAGCGGUGAAAUGCGUAGAUAUCGAGGAGGAACACCGGUGGCGAAGGCGGGUCUCUGGGCCGGAUA
RNAcentral lists this ribosomal RNA (218 nucleotides) under uncultured bacterium. Its description in RNAcentral is "partial 16S ribosomal RNA". It matches the Rfam family "Bacterial small subunit ribosomal RNA", at positions 524 to 739 of the family's 1533-position model. The record is from RNAcentral.